RNAcentral lists this ribosomal RNA (497 nucleotides) under uncultured bacterium. RNAcentral describes it as "partial 16S ribosomal RNA". It matches the Rfam family "Bacterial small subunit ribosomal RNA", at positions 28 to 507 of the family's 1533-position model. The record is from RNAcentral.
GAUGAACGCUGGCGGCGUGCCUAAUACAUGCAAGUCGAGCGAACGGACGAGAAGCUUGCUUCUCUGCUGUUAGCGGCGGACGGGUGAGUAACACGUGGAUAACCUACCUAUAAGACUGGGAUAACUUCGGGAAACCGGAGCUAAUACCGGAUAAUAUUUUGAACCGCAUGGUUCAAAAGUGAAAGACGGUCUUGCUGUCACUUAUAGAUGGAUCCGCGCUGCAUUAGCUAGUUGGUAAGGUAACGGCCUACCAAGGCAACGAUGCAUAGCCGACCUGAGAGGGGGAACCGGCAACCUGGAAAUGAGGACCGGGCCCGGAUCCCACGGGAGGGCGGAGGUGGGAAUUUUUCCGCAUGGGCGGAAGGCUUGACGAGGCAACGCGGCGGGAUGAAGGAGGGUCUUCGGUUGGAAAAACCUUGUGAUUGGGGAGAAACACAGGGGGAUGUAACUGUGCAGAUCUGAAGGUAACCAAAGCAGAAGGCCCGGCUAAAUUAGUG